GACGAACGCUGGCGGCGUGCUUAACACAUGCAAGUCGAACGGAAAGGCCCUGCUUUUGUUGGGUGAUCGAAUGGCACACGGGUGAGUAACACGUGAGUAACCCGCCCUUGACUGUGGGAUAACUUCAAGAAACUGGGGCUAAUCCCGGAUAGGAGCUCCUGUUCGAUGGUGGGGGUUGGAAAGUUUCGGCGGUUGGGGUUGGACUCGCGGCUUAUCAGCUUGUUUGUGGGGUAGUGGCUUACCAAGGCUUUGACGGGUAGCCGGCCUUAGAGGGUGGCCGGCCACAUUGGGACUAAGAUAGGGCGCAGAGGCCAACGGGAGGCAGCGGUGGGGAAUGUUGCACAAUGGGCGGAAGCCUGAUGCAGAAACGCCGCGUGUGGGAUGACGGCCUUCGGGUUAUAAACGGCUUUCGCCUGAGACGAAGCGUGAGUGACGGUAAUGGGAAAAGAAGCACCGGCUAACUACGUG
RNAcentral lists this ribosomal RNA (468 nucleotides) under uncultured bacterium. Its description in RNAcentral is "partial 16S ribosomal RNA". It matches the Rfam family "Bacterial small subunit ribosomal RNA", at positions 28 to 507 of the family's 1533-position model. The record is from RNAcentral.